GAUGAACGCUGACAGAAUGCUUAACACAUGCAAGUCUACCUGAACUUCGGUUUGGGUGGCGGACGGGUGAGUAACGCGUACAGAACUUACCCCACAGUUAGGGACAACUUUUGGAAACGAAUGCUAAUACCUGAUAUUAUGAUUUUAGGGCAUCCUAAGAUUAUGAAAGCUAUAUGCGCUGUGAGAGAGCUUUGCGUCCCAUUAGCUAGUUGGAAAGGUAACGGCUCACCAUGGCGAUGAUGGGUAGCCGGCCUGAGAGGGUGACAGGCCGCAGGGGGACGGAGACGCGGACAAGACUACUAAGGGAGGCAGCAGUAGGGAAUCGUAGGCAAUGGGUGAAAGCAUGACGGAGCAAGGCCGAGUGAGUGAUGAAGGUCUUCGGAUCGGAAAAAUCUGUUAUGAGGGAAGAACAGAUGUGUAAGUAACUAAGGACGUCGUGACGGUAACGAAUCAAAAAGCCACGGCUAACUACGUG
Molecule: ribosomal RNA, 475 nt
Filed under: uncultured bacterium
Lineage: Bacteria
Description: partial 16S ribosomal RNA
Rfam family: Bacterial small subunit ribosomal RNA
Source: RNAcentral